AGUCUCCAGGCAACAGAAAACAUUGUCUCUCGUUUCACCACAGGGGGUACUGUCGUUCAGAAUCCCUUGCUUCAGGAUGACGCUACGACGCGUCACUGCAACCAGAAAAUACAGUAUAGCUGUUCAAAUGAAACUUUAUGCACAACAAGCGGAUCUAGUGUGACUAAACGUAGAUACUGUAGUUAUGUUAACAUGACAGCCAUUGAAACAUCUUCUUGUUUGCAAAGCCUGAUUUGUCCAUCCAUGCAGAUAACAUGCUCCGGACUCUGUUGUGCGGUCUGAGGAUACAGCAGCCUUUUGAGGAGUAGAACAUGUUCCUAUGGCUUCACCCCUGUCAAUCUGUCAGACCCUGUCCAGCUGCAUGUGACUCCACCUAGAACUCUAUUCUAUCUAUAUGUUCAUCGUGGGACCUGUCAUUCAAACACACACUCCCAACAGCGUCAGAGGACUAUCAGAGGAGACAGGAAGCGAGAUGUUUCGUAAUGUGUCACCAUGUUUCAGCGCCGGUGUUGUAUCGCUGUCAGCUAUCAUUGGUCAUUCCACCUCCACCAGACAGUUGGGUGUCAGUAUACAGAGGAGGCUCUAUUCAACGGCCCCUAUUAAAUCAGUGACCAUGCCUGGAAGUGGGAAGAAACUUCCUAAAGGCCCUAGGACCAAACAACCAUCCAGAACCAAUCAGCCGACCCCAAAGGAGGACAAGGUGAUGCCGUCCACCAAUCAGAUUAGAGGACUGGGAGAUGCCUAAUGGAUGUAUCUAUUUGUAUUUUUUGUAAUAAAAAAAUUAUUAUAAUAAUAAUAUUCCCUAGGGUUAUUCAACAAUCAAAAUGAUUUGUAGCUCAAUGACUGUCAACACAGUUACAUGCUUGGUUCGACACUGAAGGAGAUGACGCAUCAGUUGUCACAAAUAUGAGGCAUUUUCGGGAAGGUAGAAAGAAUUGCGAAUGUGCGAUUCGUCACGUUUGAAUCGGUUUUCUGACUGAUGCAUGCUACAUUUGGAUGGGUUUGGGGUCCGUGGACCGACGCAGUCCUAUUUUAAACAUUUUAAUAAGGGACUGAUGCGUAUCGGUGAGUCAUUACAUCCCCAUCAUUAAUAUAUGCAUGUUUUUUGGGGCUUUAUAUGCUUGGAGCAGCAGGUGUUUUAGCUUUAUAUGCUUGGAGCCGCAGGUCAUUUAGAAGAUGCCAAUUGUCUGUGGUCUUGCCAUGUCAAAUGUUAUUCACAUUCAUAUGAGCCAUGAAGAUCUACAGCACAUACAUUUGGUGACAGCUGUCAUCUCCUUUUAUGAAGUUUGUUGUGUGUUUGAUUUGAUAAAAUAAAGUAGACUGAACUAA
Long non-coding RNA from Salvelinus fontinalis (brook trout), 1329 nucleotides. RefSeq lists it as uncharacterized. The transcript has 2 exons. Lineage: Eukaryota; Metazoa; Chordata; Actinopteri; Salmoniformes; Salmonidae. The record is from RefSeq and is a predicted model, not a curated record.